This 460-nucleotide ribosomal RNA is filed under the name uncultured bacterium. Its description in RNAcentral is "partial 16S ribosomal RNA". It matches the Rfam family "Bacterial small subunit ribosomal RNA", at positions 338 to 795 of the family's 1533-position model. The record is from RNAcentral.
CCUACGGGUGGCAGCAGUGAGGAAUAUUGGUCAAUGGACGAGAGUCUGAACAAGCCAAGUAGCGUGAAGGAUGACUGCCCUAUGGGUUGUAAACUUCUUUUAUAUGGGAAUAAAAUGUUCCUAGUGUGGGAUUUUGUCUGUACCAUAUGAAUAAGGAUCGGCUAACUCAGUGCCAGCAGCCGCGGUAAUACGGAGGAUCCGAGAGUUAUCCGGAUUUAUUGGGUUUAAAGGGAGCGUAGGUGGAUUGUUAAGUCAGUUGUGAAAGUUUGCGGCUCAACCGUAAAGUUGCAGUUGAAACUGGCAGUCUUGAGUACAGUAGAGGAGAGCGGAAUUCGAUGUGUAGCGAUGAAAUGCUUAGAUAUCACGAAGAACUCCGAUUGCGAAGGCAGCUCACUGGACUGCAACUGACACUGAGGCUCGAAAGUGUGGGUAUCAAACAGGAUUAGAUACCCUGGUAGUC